Molecule: long non-coding RNA, 1203 nt
Filed under: Sus scrofa (pig)
Lineage: Eukaryota; Metazoa; Chordata; Mammalia; Artiodactyla; Suidae
Description: lncRNA (ENSSSCG00040064933.1)
Source: RNAcentral
UGUUACUGCUGCGCCACAAUGGGGACCUCCCAGCUUCUUUAAAGUGGAUCAGAAAACACGGAUUUACAUGCCUUCACCAUCCUGGUUGCCUGGUUAACAACAGGCUUAGCAUGUCUGGGCCUCAGUUUCCCCAUCUGUAAAAUAAAGAGGUUUGAUUUCAUGAUCUUUAAGGUCAUUUUAAUGCCAACGUUCUGUGUUAAACUCGGGAACCCCUGCAAAGAUGUCCACAUACAUUUCUGAGCAGGGGACGUCCCCCUCCCCUAAAUGUUCCUGUCACGUUUAUCUGCUGACGGUAGAAAAUGGAGACAUUUAUUUAUUCAAUUUCUCUUCCUCCAACAAACAGUUUCUGAGGGCCACGAUGUUCCAGGUAAGACCCAUCAAGGGUCUCCUGUUCUAUUCCCAGCUCUGGCAGGAAGCAGGCAGGGAGAGUGGAUUGGGUGCCUGGGGGACCCUGUAGCAUCCAUGGGAGCUUGUACCUGUGCCAAGCGCAUUUUAAAAAGGAUGCGACUCCCAGGCCAGACUGCUCAUUGCUUUCUCCUGGACCUAAGUCUGUCAGCAAAUCUGGUUGGCAGGCACCUCUGCUACUUGAAUUUUGCAGAGACCAGCCUCAUUGAACUCACCCAAACACUGUCAACAUGUGAAGGCAGGGUGGAGAGAAUGCAAAUACUAAUGAGGAUUGUGAGAUAUCAAAUUCCACAGAGUCUGGUAGGAACACUGCUUUGACUUCUCUUUAAAAGAAAGCCUAGCUAGGAGUUCCUACUGUGGCUCAACAGGAUUGAUGGCAUCUUGGGAGGGAGCACUGGGACACAGGUUUGAUCCCUGGGUGGGCACAGUGGGUUAAGGAUCUGUUGUUACCACAGCCGUGGUUUAGGUCGCAACCGCGGCUUGAUUCUGAUCCUUGGCCAGGGAACUCCAUAUUCCAAGGAGUGGCCACAAAAGGAAAGAAAAGAAAACCUAGCUCUUGUGUGUUAAUUCAUUUCAGCCUCUCAAUAUAAGCCCGUGCAGUAGAGAUUGUCACCUUUGUUUUAAUGAAUGGGGAAACUGAUGAGAAGCUGCAAGUUUUAGAACUUGCCCAGGGUACUAGUUUCUAAAGGUGGAGCCAGGGUUAUGGACUUAGGCUGCCAAGCUUUACGGGCACUGCUCUUUUAAAAAAUUUUUAUUUAUUUAUAUUAUUUAGUCUUUUGACCUUUUAGGACCGCACCC